RNAcentral lists this ribosomal RNA (864 nucleotides) under Sphyrna lewini (scalloped hammerhead). Its description in RNAcentral is "partial 16S large subunit ribosomal RNA". The stretch from base 189 to 692 matches the Rfam family "Bacterial large subunit ribosomal RNA", at positions 573 to 1301 of the family's 2925-position model. Lineage: Eukaryota; Metazoa; Chordata; Chondrichthyes; Carcharhiniformes; Carcharhinidae. The record is from RNAcentral.
ACCUCAAAGCUAGCCUACACACCAACUCAACUAGACCCAAUAAAUCUAAUUUACACUACAAUUUUCAAUUAAAACAUUCUAAACCUUUUAGUAUGGGCGACAGAACAAUAACCUUAGCGCAAUAGCUUAUGUACCGCAAGGGAAAGCUGAAAAAGAAAUGAAACAAAUUAUUAAAGUACUAAAAAGCAGAGUUUACAUCUCGUACCUUUUGCAUCAUGAUUUAGCUAGAAAAAUUAGGCAAAAAGAUUUUAAGUCUACCUUCCCGAAACUAAACGAGCUACUCCGAAGUAGCAUUAUAGAGCUAACCCGUCUCUGUGGCAAAAGAGUGGGAAGACUUCCGAGUAGCGGUGAAAAGCCUACCGAGUUUAGUGAUAGCUGGUUACCCAAAAAAAGAACUUCAGUUCUGCAUUAAUUUUUUAUUACCCAAACAAGACUUCCUUAUUAAAGGAACCCAUAAGAAUUAACAGUUAUUUAGAAGAGGUACAGCCCUUCUAAACUAAGAUACAACUUUUUAAGAUGGGAAAUGAUCACAAUCAUCAAGGUUACCCCCUCAGUGGGCCUAAAAGCAGCCACCUGUAAAGCAAGCGUCGCAGCUCCAGCUCAACAACCAAACCUUCAAUUCCGAUACAUAUUCACUACCCUCUUUAUCCUAUUGGGUUAUUUUAUAAAAAUAUAAAAGAAUUUAUGCUAAAAUGAGUAAUAAAGAGAACAAAUCUCUCCCGACACAAGUGUAUGUCAGAAGAAUUAAAUCACUGAUAAUUAAACGGCCCCAAACUGAGGCCAUUAUAUCACUUAAACAUUAACCAGAAAACCCUAUUCUUCCACCCGUUAAUCCUACACAGGAGUGUCACCAGGAAAGAUAAA